UAUAAUUAUAACAUAUAUUUUUAUUUUACUUAUUUUAGGUCUGUGAAGCCAAACUUGAUGCUGGGGAUUUAUUUUUGUCAGUGGAGUCAAAUGGUCUAGAUGAUCACAUCUGUCUUUGUCAUUUAAAUGAGGUGGACUUGCAAACUUUGCGCUCUUUGGGGUUGAAGCAGAAUUUGCCCGUCUUACAUCUGUUGACCUGAAAGGGUUCCUUUUUGCUGUGCUUGACCAUUAUGGAGAGGUUCGUGGAGCUGUACAAAAUCAAGAGCGGCAUAGAAAGGCUAACUAGGCUCAUAAAAUGCUUCAAUGAUGAUAGCCCUACACAAAGGAAGAGGACAGAGGACCUCAUUUUCUAAAGGAAGAUCCCUCACACACUUUCAAGACUGUGAAGCCGACAGGUAUUGAAGACACGUUUUCUAAGAGGAUGAAAGUUGGCAUUGUGAUGGUG
Long non-coding RNA from Pelmatolapia mariae (spotted tilapia), 445 nucleotides. RefSeq lists it as uncharacterized. Lineage: Eukaryota; Metazoa; Chordata; Actinopteri; Cichliformes; Cichlidae. The record is from RefSeq and is a predicted model, not a curated record. The transcript is spliced from 5 exons.